Molecule: ribosomal RNA, 494 nt
Filed under: uncultured bacterium
Lineage: Bacteria
Description: partial 16S ribosomal RNA
Rfam family: Bacterial small subunit ribosomal RNA
Source: RNAcentral
GACGAACGCUGGCGGCGUGCCUAAUACAUGCAAGUCGAACGGUCAAGCGCCUUCCUUUUUGGUUGGAGUGUAAGAUGGGCGAACCGGUGAGUAACAUGAGAGUAACCUGACCCGUCCUUCUGGAUAACCGCAUGAAAGUGUGGCUAAUACGGGAUAUUCUGGGUCUGUCGCUUGAUGGGUCUGUGAAAGAUAUUGUUUCGGUGAUGGAUGGGCUCGCGGCCUAUCAGCUCGUUGGUGGGGUGAUGGCCUACCAAGGCGGUGAUGGGUGGCCGGCCGGAGAGGGUGGCCAGACACAGUGGGACAGAGAGACCGGACAGCCUCCUGCGGGAGGCAGCAGGGGGCAUUAGUGAACGACGGGAGUAAGACUGAGGCAGGGACGCGGCGUGAGGGAGGGAUGCCGUCGGGUUAUGAACCUCUUUCGAGAAGGAAGCAUGUGAGAGUCGAUUGUGCGCGGGUUGACGGUAGCUUAAUAGAAAGCGACGGCUAACUACGUG